RNAcentral lists this ribosomal RNA (428 nucleotides) under uncultured bacterium. RNAcentral describes it as "bacterial SSU rRNA". It matches the Rfam family "Bacterial small subunit ribosomal RNA", at positions 30 to 501 of the family's 1533-position model. The record is from RNAcentral.
CGAACGCUGGCGGCAGGCUUAACACAUGCAAGUCGAACGGGCGUAGCAAUACGUCAGUGGCAGACGGGUGAGUAACGCGUGGGAACGUACCUUUUGGUUCGGAACAACCCAGGGAAACUUGGGCUAAUACCGGAUAAGCCCUUACGGGGAAAGAUUUAUCGCCGAAAGAUCGGCCCGCGUCUGAUUAGCUAGUUGGUGUGGUAACGGCGCACCAAGGCGACGAUCAGUAGCUGGUCUGAGAGGAUGAUCAGCCACAUUGGGGACUGAGACACGGCCCAAACUCCUACGGGAGGCAGCAGUGGGGAAUAUUGGACAAUGGGCGCAAGCCUGAUCCAGCCAUGCCGCGUGAGUGAUGAAGGCCCUAGGGUUGUAAAGCUCUUUUGUGCGGGAAGAUAAUGACGGUACCGCAAGAAUAAGCCCCGGCUAAC